This 253-nucleotide ribosomal RNA is filed under the name uncultured bacterium. Its description in RNAcentral is "partial 16S ribosomal RNA". It matches the Rfam family "Bacterial small subunit ribosomal RNA", at positions 524 to 776 of the family's 1533-position model. The record is from RNAcentral.
UACAGAGGGUGCGAGCGUUAAUCGGAAUUACUGGGCGUAAAGCGCGCGUAGGCGGCUUUGCAAGUCGGGUGUGAAAUCCCCGGGCUCAACCCGGGAACUGCGUCCGAUACUGGAAGGCUUGAAUCCGGGAGAGGGAUGCGGAAUUCCAGGUGUAGCGGUGAAAUGCGUAGAUAUCUGGGGGAACACCGGUGGCGAAGGCGGCAUCCUGGACCGGCAUUGACGCUGAGGCGCGAAAGCCAGGGGAGCAAACGGG